This 124-nucleotide transfer RNA is filed under the name Ophiostoma piceae UAMH 11346. It matches the Rfam family "tRNA". Rfam says of the family: Transfer RNA (tRNA) molecules are approximately 80 nucleotides in length. The record is from Rfam by way of RNAcentral. Lineage: Eukaryota; Fungi; Ascomycota; Sordariomycetes; Ophiostomatales; Ophiostomataceae.
GGCAAGAUGGCCGAGUGGUCUAAGGCGUUGGAUUUAGGCAGAGCUGUCGCUGCUUCAGUAGCAACAGUCGAGUUAUAAAUUCCUCCAAUCCGAAAGGGCGUGGGUUCGAAUCCCACUCUUGUCA